AUUGAACGCUGGCGGCAUGCCUUACACAUGCAAGUCGAACGGCAGCACGGGAGCAAUCCUGGUGGCGAGUGGCGAACGGGUGAGUAAUAUAUCGGAACGUGCCCGGUCGUGGGGGAUAACGUAGCGAAAGCUACGCUAAUACCGCAUACGAUCUACGGAUGAAAGCGGGGGAUCGCAAGACCUCGCGCGAUUGGAGCGGCCGAUAUCAGAUUAGGUAGUUGGUGAGGUAAAGGCUCACCAAGCCGACGAUCUGUAGCUGGUCUGAGAGGACGACCAGCCACACUGGGACUGAGACACGGCCCAGACUCCUACGGGAGGCAGCAGUGGGGAAUUUUGGGACAAUGGGCGCGAAGCCUGAUCCAGCAAUGCCGCGUGCAGGAUGAAGGCC
This 388-nucleotide ribosomal RNA is filed under the name uncultured bacterium. RNAcentral describes it as "bacterial SSU rRNA". It matches the Rfam family "Bacterial small subunit ribosomal RNA", at positions 29 to 416 of the family's 1533-position model. The record is from RNAcentral.